RNAcentral lists this ribosomal RNA (301 nucleotides) under uncultured bacterium. RNAcentral's name for it is "partial 16S ribosomal RNA". It matches the Rfam family "Bacterial small subunit ribosomal RNA", at positions 509 to 809 of the family's 1533-position model. The record is from RNAcentral.
CAGUAGCCGCGGUAAUACGAAGGGUGCAAGCGUUACUCGGAAUUACUGGGCGUAAAGCGUGCGUAGGUGGUGGUUUAAGUCCGUUGUGAAAGCCCUGGGCUCAACCUGGGAAUUGCAGUGGAUACUGGGUCACUAGAGUGUGGUAGAGGAUAGUGGAAUUUCCGGUGUAGCAGUGAAAUGCGUAGAGAUCGGAAGGAACAUCUGUGGCGAAGGCGACUAUCUGGGCCAACACUGACACUGAGGCACGAAAGCGUGGGGAGCAAACAGGAUUAGAUACCCCAGUAGUCCCUGUCUCUUAUAA